CGGGCUGUGGCGCAGCUUGGUAGCGCGCUUCGUUCGGGACGAAGAGGCCGCGAGUUCAAAUCUCGCCAGCCGAC
This 74-nucleotide transfer RNA is filed under the name Bifidobacterium canis. RNAcentral describes it as "tRNA-Pro". It matches the Rfam family "tRNA". Rfam says of the family: Transfer RNA (tRNA) molecules are approximately 80 nucleotides in length. Their secondary structure includes four short double-helical elements and three loops (D, anti-codon, and T loops). Lineage: Bacteria; Bacillati; Actinomycetota; Actinomycetes; Bifidobacteriales; Bifidobacteriaceae. The record is from RNAcentral.